This 468-nucleotide ribosomal RNA is filed under the name uncultured bacterium. RNAcentral's name for it is "partial 16S ribosomal RNA". It matches the Rfam family "Bacterial small subunit ribosomal RNA", at positions 28 to 507 of the family's 1533-position model. The record is from RNAcentral.
GACGAACGCUGGCGGCGUGCUUAACACAUGCAAGUCGAACGGAAAGGCCCGGCUUUUGUGGGUUUCUCGAUUGGCGAACGGGUGAGUAACACAUGAGUAACCUGCCCUUGACUUUGUGAUAACUUCAGGAAACUGGGGCUAAUACCGGAUAGGAGCUCCUGCUGCAUGGUGUUGAUUGGAAAGUUUCGGCUGUGGGGGAUGGACUCGCUGGUUAUCAGCUUGUUGGUGGGGUAGUGGCUUACCAAGGCUUUGACGGGUAGCCGGCAUGAGAGGGUGACCCGCCACAUUGGGACUGAGAUACGGCCCAGAAUCCUACGGGCGGCAGUAGUGGGGAACAUUGCACAAUGGGCGGACGCCUGAUGCAGCAACGCCGAGUGCGGGAUGCCGGCCUUCGGGUUGUAAACAGAUUUCGACUGUGCUGAAGAGUGAGUGACGGUAAUGGGUCAAGAAGCAACGGCUAACUACGUG